This 1083-nucleotide ribosomal RNA is filed under the name Triticum aestivum (bread wheat). Its description in RNAcentral is "partial small subunit ribosomal RNA". Lineage: Eukaryota; Viridiplantae; Streptophyta; Magnoliopsida; Poales; Poaceae. The record is from RNAcentral.
AUGGGCGCCACCAAUCAUACCUUGCAAGCGCUGCUCCCAUGGCUCCUCCUGUUCGUGCAGCAGGCCGCCGCGGCCAGCGGCGGGUGCGAGUGCACGACCGCCACGGACGGGGCGGACAAGCAGGGCGCGAUGAAGCUGAAGCUGGUCGCCAUCGCGUCCAUCCUCACCGCCGGGGCGGCUGGCGUGCUGGUGCCGGUGCUCGGCCGCUCCAUGGCCGCGCUGCGCCCCGACGGCGACAUCUUCUUCGCGGUCAAGGCGUUUGCCGCUGGCGUCAUACUUGCCACCGGCAUGGUGCACAUCCUGCCGGCGGCGUUCGACGGGCUCACCUCCCCGUGCAUCCACAAAGGCGGCGGGGACAGGAACGGCUUCCCUUUUGCCGGCCUUGUGGCCAUGUCUGCAGCCAUGGCCACAAUGGUGAUAGACUCGCUGGCUGCUGGGUACUACCGCCGGUCUCACUUCAGCAAGGCGCGCCCACUUGACAACAUUGACAUGCCCGGAGAUGAGGAAGGGAGGGCCGAUCAUCCACAUAUGCACGCGCAUGGCCAUUCACAUGGUGAGGCAAUUGUUGUCAGCUCACCGGAGGAGGCGGCGAUAGCUGACACAAUCCGGCACAGGGUGGUAUCUCAGGUUCUAGAGCUGGGAAUCUUGGUGCAUUCAGUGAUAAUUGGUGUGUCAUUAGGAGCAUCUGUGAGGCCAUCCACCAUCAAGCCUCUGGUCGGUGCCCUCAGCUUCCAUCAAUUCUUUGAAGGCAUAGGCUUGGGUGGUUGCAUUGUACAGGCUAAUUUCAAGGUAAGGGCAACCAUCAUCAUGGCAACGUUUUUCUCCCUGACCGCACCCGUGGGCAUCGUGCUAGGGAUUGCGAUUUCAUCUAGCUAUAAUGUGCAUAGCUCUACUGCCUUCAUUAUUGAGGGAGUCUUCAACUCAGCCUCGGCAGGGAUUUUGAUCUACAUGUCCCUGGUGGACCUUCUAGCAACAGAUUUCAAUAACCCAAAGCUACAGACAAAUACAAAGCUUCAGCUGAUGACAUAUCUUGCACUUUUCCUAGGUGCAGGGAUGAUGUCCAUGCUUGCCAUAUGGGCAUAG